GAGCAUCUCUCCAAACACAAGAGUCUCUUGAAGUUUCAUCAAACAAGAAAUUUCAUAAAUCUCCUUUUCAUGCGCAGCCUUUGCUGAGCGAACGCCGCAACCCUCUUACUCAUGACAAAUACACUCAAAGGGCACUAAUUGCCGCUCCAAUUGUGGGGGGAACAAAACAGGUCAAUUUAGAAUGCUCAUCUGCACACAAACCCAGUGUGGGAAGAGUAUUGUCAUUAAGAUGUAUAAAUUGGAGCUGGGAAUUUGGCAGCGACGCAUUGUGCUGGAUGCUAAGACAGGAGUGGGACAGAGCUGCAAAGGGAACACUCUGAUUCAUAAGGAUGAAAGACUCGCAUUUGGUAUUUGUCACUAUGAUAUCUUUAGUUAUUGCAUGCGUGACGGCUCAGUCUUCCAGGGAAGGUGAAUGGAAGUCACUGGAAAACCCAUACAACAGAGACCUGUUCUUCAAGUUCUUGAAAUCCUAUAUUAUUGGGAGGGGAAGUCACAUGAUGAACCCAGGGGCAAAGGAUAAAGCUGUGAAUGACUUGCAGAGCAAUGCAGACUCAAAAUAUGGCAACCUACAGAGAAUUCUGGACAACAAUGAAAUAGCCGAUACCUAAACCCUGAGAUCUGCCAAUCCUUCAUGUUUUAACAACUGUAAAUGUAAGGGAGCAGCAUCAGCACCAAAAAUGCAUACUUCUGAAAGACAAUUUUUGCUGUUUUGUUCAGUCUUGGGUAGAAACAGAUAUUCAAUGCUAUACAAGUACUUUUGAUUGGACCUACUAAUAAAAACUGUACAUAUA
Molecule: long non-coding RNA, 791 nt
Organism: Xenopus tropicalis (tropical clawed frog)
Lineage: Eukaryota; Metazoa; Chordata; Amphibia; Anura; Pipidae
Exons: 3
Source: RefSeq, a predicted model, not a curated record